CAGUCGCCGCGGUAAUACGAAGGGGGCUAGCGUUGUUCGGAUUUACUGGGCGUAAAGCGCACGUAGGCGGACUUUUAAGUCAGGGGUGAAAUCCCGGGGCUCAACCCCGGAACUGCCUUUGAUACUGGGAGUCUUGAGUUCGAGAGAGGUGAGUGGAAUUGCGAGUGUAGAGGUGCAAUUCGUAGAUAUUCGCAGGAACACCAGUGGCGAAGGCGGCUCACUGGCUCGAUACUGACGCUGAGGUGCGAAAGCGUGGGGAGCAAACAGGAUUAGAUACCCCUGUAGUCCCUGUCUCUUAUAC
Molecule: ribosomal RNA, 301 nt
Filed under: uncultured bacterium
Lineage: Bacteria
Description: partial 16S ribosomal RNA
Rfam family: Bacterial small subunit ribosomal RNA
Source: RNAcentral